RNAcentral lists this non-coding RNA (664 nucleotides) under Pongo abelii (Sumatran orangutan). Lineage: Eukaryota; Metazoa; Chordata; Mammalia; Primates; Hominidae. The record is from RNAcentral.
UUAGCAUUCGUCGCCAACGAGAAAUUGGGGUCGGCCCGAAAGCUCUAGAAUGCACCCCUAUUCCUCCCCGGGGCCAUUCCCGCUCAACGAGUUUUAUGACCUAAAAAACCCCACAGGCUGGUCUGAAGGUCGGAGGCCUAAUUUUAACGCGUUUUCCUCCCUUUAAUUUGAAACGGGAACGCGAAUAACUAAAAUGUGGGCACAAUAUUUAACCUCUUGCUUUUUUAAAGCUUAAUAAUGGAUAGUAGGGGGCAGUAUCAAGGGAUAAUUUGGGUCCCCACAGUACCAAAGCAUUUAGAAACCUCUGCUUAAUUUAAGGAAUGAGAUAAAUUACUGCUUUUCUAGAUUUGGUAGCAUGGGCUGUUGUGCUGGAGAGAACGAGAGCUACGAAGAGACUAGAAUGCCUCUGACUUUUUCAUAGGACAGUUGGCCGAGGAAGACACUUAAAGAUGAAGUGCUUAAUUCAAGGUCACAGAAUGUCGGGGAUGGACCUCCAGAUUUCCUUACUGGUGAGACGUGGUCUUGUAACACAGUGGUUAAGAAUGUGACUUUGGAGCCAGCCUGCUAGGGGCUGAAUUCUGACUCAGCCAUUUAUUAACUGUGUGACCUUAGGGAGGAGGACCUGGUUGAUAGAAGAAUUUAUCUCAUAGUCUUAACAUCCACU